RNAcentral lists this transfer RNA (73 nucleotides) under Candidatus Carsonella ruddii. Its description in RNAcentral is "tRNA-Val". It matches the Rfam family "tRNA". Rfam says of the family: Transfer RNA (tRNA) molecules are approximately 80 nucleotides in length. Their secondary structure includes four short double-helical elements and three loops (D, anti-codon, and T loops). Lineage: Bacteria; Pseudomonadati; Pseudomonadota; Gammaproteobacteria; Oceanospirillales; Halomonadaceae. The record is from RNAcentral.
AGGUAAUUAACUCAACAGGUAGAGUAUCAGUUUUACAUACUGAAAGUUACAAGUUCAAAUCUUGUAUUGCCUA